UACGUAGGGUGCAAGCGUUGUCCGGAAUUAUUGGGCGUAAAGAGCUCGUAGGCGGUCUGUCGCGUCGGCUGUGAAAUCCCGGAGCUCAACUCCGGGUCUGCAGUCGAUACGGGCAAACUGGAGCACUGCAGGGGAGACUGGAAUUCCUGGUGUAGCGGUGAAAUGCGCAGAUAUCAGGAGGAACACCGGUGGCGAAGGCGGGUCUCUGGGCAGUAACUGACGCUGAGGAGCGAAAGCGUGGGGAGCGAACAGG
This 253-nucleotide ribosomal RNA is filed under the name uncultured bacterium. RNAcentral describes it as "partial 16S ribosomal RNA". It matches the Rfam family "Bacterial small subunit ribosomal RNA", at positions 524 to 776 of the family's 1533-position model. The record is from RNAcentral.